This 647-nucleotide ribosomal RNA is filed under the name uncultured bacterium. RNAcentral's name for it is "bacterial SSU rRNA". It matches the Rfam family "Bacterial small subunit ribosomal RNA", at positions 110 to 753 of the family's 1533-position model. The record is from RNAcentral.
GUAAUAUAUCGGAACGUGCCCAGUCGUGGGGGAUAACGUAGCGAAAGUUACGCUAAUACCGCAUACGAUCUAAGGAUGAAAGCGGGGGACCGUAAGGCCUCGCGCGAUUGGAGCGGCCGAUAUCAGAUUAGGUAGUUGGUGGGGUAAAGGCUCACCAAGCCAACGAUCUGUAGCUGGUCUGAGAGGACGACCAGCCACACUGGAACUGAGACACGGUCCAGACUCCUACGGGAGGCAGCAGUGGGGAAUUUUGGACAAUGGACGCAAGUCUGAUCCAGCCAUUCCGCGUGCAGGAUGAAGGCCCUCGGGUUGUAAACUGCUUUUGUACGGAACGAAAAGGUCUCUAUUAAUACUGGGGGCUCAUGACGGUACCGUAAGAAUAAGCACCGGCUAACUACGUGCCAGCAGCCGCGGUAAUACGUAGGGUGCAAGCGUUAAUCGGAAUUACUGGGCGUAAAGCGUGCGCAGGCGGUUAUGUAAGACAGAGGUGAAAUCCCCGGGCUCAACCUGGGAACUGCCUUUGUGACUGCAUAGCUAGAGUACGGUAGAGGGGGAUGGAAUUCCGCGUGUAGCAGUGAAAUGCGUAGAUAUGCGGAGGAACACCGAUGGCGAAGGCAAUCCCCUGGACCUGUACUGACGCUCAUGCA